UAUUAUUGCAGUUAUAGAAGGUCAUGACUGACCUUUGAAACACUUGGGCACACCAAAGGUUGGUGAUUCGAAUCAAAGAUUAGUGUAUGCUAUGUUACGUUGUUUCCCUCAUCUGAUUAUUGUUGCUGUCGGGUUAACAUGAAUGCUAAGUUAUAGGCGUCUUGACUAAUUAAUAAAUGAAACCGAAGAGGAUGGGCAGAAAGCAAACUAAUUUUAUGUACGCCCAACAUUGUUUCUUUGGAUGCUUAUAUGAAUGGUUUUAAACUUUUAAUGGAUGAGCUGAUGGCAUAACUUGGUUCUCCUCUUACAGAUAAGCGCAUUCAUGUUCUGAAGCAAUGUCUUCUUGAACGUGUAUAGGAAAUAAGCUCGAUGCAUUUAUUUUAGCACUUAGAUACUCUUUUGCUUACAUGUCUACCGGGAAGAUACAAUGUCCUACAAGUUCGAAUACAGAGCUACCACUAUAAAUUCUACUUGGUUGCAUCUGACCUAAUGUUAUUCAUUUCCUUCUGCUCCAGACAAGACAAGCAGCAGCGGCGACGCCAGACCAGUCACCCCCGCACCUCCAGUUUUCCUUCAGGGCAACUAACCACUGGCAAAUGUUUCUGUCAUUUCUUUCGCUUGUGAUUCCUCUCGUUGGGACCAUGGUUGUUGCCUUUCCCUCUGCCUGUAAAAUCGUACUGCAGAGGCAUCUAGCACCCAGCAUGAACAUCGGUGUGAGGUCUUCGAUCGAGGCUCCUCUGGACCAGCAUCGUCUGCUAGCGCACGCGUGCCUGCUUAUGUGUAGAUUGACUGAUCUAGCCUCCACCUAAAUUUCCUGCAAUUACGAUUCAGCAAGAGAUCAUAGAUAGUCUAAUUUGUUUUCCCAAAACCUGAGUUCAACGAUGGAGUUAGAUACAGAUUAUCCAUAUGCAUAUUCUGUCCAUAUUACUGUCCUGAACAGAUAGCCUGAUUGUUCCACUUAAUUUAGGUCACUAAUUACAUGCAAAUAGUACUACACUAUACGUCUAAUUUUUCUGCAAUUGCUUCAUUAGAUAGCCUGAGUGUUCAAAAAAUUGUUCUAUACUUUGUCUUUGUCUUCCCUGAUUUUAAUUAACCCUGUUGAGCUUCUUUAUGACGUAGGCUGAGCCUUGUGUUGGGAGGAUCCCAGGCUGAAUGAUGCUUGAUCUCCUUUUGGAGGAGCUUAUGUUUACCGCAGCCCGUUAUAGUCGAAGGGGCUGUUUAAGUAACACCAUGAGUUCAUUUACUGGUGUUCGAUCCUCCGAUGAGGCAGCGGCGGAAGACUUGCCUUUUUGAAGCCAUCAGGACCAUCGAAAAUGCCACAAGCACAGUGGUUAAAGAUCUGAAUUAUGGACGCUUAAACAAGAUGGAACAAGACUUUGGUUAUCUAAGGCUCAGGCUCAAUGAAGCAUUUGACACAAUAGACAGGGUUGCCAAAGGAUAUUUGUAUGCUAUAAGAUACAUGCCAGCUUUCUUACACCAGCUUCAUAAUGUGAUAGCACAUGCUUUUCCUCCUACUCGUGUUGUGGACAAGUCAACAAAUGAGGCUCUCAAGAAUAUUGAGGUGGUAGCUCAUAAUCUCAGGACAGAAGCAAUAGUCUUGAGAACAAGCUAUAUGUGAGAAGGCAGAGUCAAGCGCGUGAACAUGAGGUAUUUGCACCUGUGGCUUUCUUUGGUCGUGACGUUUAAGAUAAGCGCGUGAACAUGCGUAGCUUGAUUUCGGACUAAAUCCUUUGUAGUUGCGUGGACCAACUUCUAUAUACUAAAUAUGUAUAGCUUGCUUUUGAACUGAACCUGUUGUUUCCUGAACCAAUUGCUAUGUAUUGAAUGUGUAUAUAUCGAUGCAAUGCUUCAAAUAUAAACUUGGUAUAUUAGAUUGAUAAAUAUAACUAAAUUAUGUUAUUUUUAUAUUUAC
This 1912-nucleotide long non-coding RNA is filed under the name Triticum aestivum (bread wheat). RNAcentral describes it as "long non-coding RNA (TAES_LNC007775)". The record is from RNAcentral. Lineage: Eukaryota; Viridiplantae; Streptophyta; Magnoliopsida; Poales; Poaceae.